RNAcentral lists this long non-coding RNA (337 nucleotides) under Homo sapiens (human). Its description in RNAcentral is "HSALNT0369253". The record is from RNAcentral. Lineage: Eukaryota; Metazoa; Chordata; Mammalia; Primates; Hominidae.
GGGAAGAGUAUUUACCCGCUAAUCUCUUUAUUCCCUCGCCUGACAAAAUAUCUGCAUUCCUGGGCGGCCUCAAGAAAUGAACUACAGACAUCUAUUCCCUUUGUGAUACCUCCUUGGAAUCAAAGUGUGGAGUGUAACAAUGUGCCUCCACACACUCACACUAGUUGAUGCUUCAUCUUGGUGAAAUCAAGUUUUUGGAAUUACCUUUCCUAAGAUCAUUCUAUUCACAGAGAAGGAGCUUAAUGAAACUAUGGUGGAUGUAUUCUAGACAGAAGAAGGAUUAAACCAAGAUAAAAACAAUGUGAAUGAGGAAAGUGGGAGUAACAGGGAUUCCAAG